CCCUUACCCGCUGAACUUAAGCAUAUCAAUAAGCGGAGGAAAAGAAACUAACAAGGAUUCCCCUAGUAACGGCGAGUGAAGCGGGAAGAGCUCAAAUUUGAAAUCUGUCUGGUAUCCAGGCCGAAUUGUAGUUUAUAAAAGUGUUUUCGGGGGCAGUCUAGGAUCAAGUCCUUCGGGCCUACGCCUGGUAUAUGCUUCUGCCAGCAGGUCAGCAUCGGUUCGUGCUAGUGUAGAAAGCUAGAGGAAGGUAUCGUAUUUAUACGUAUUAUAGCCUCUGGUGCUGCUCUGGCGUGGAGCGAGGAAUGCAGUCUAGUCUUGGGGAACCUGCCGCCGGGUGAUGCAUGGUUUUGGACAACUUGUUGAUCAUGUUGAGCAUGUUGACCCGUCUUGAAACACGGACCAAGGAGUCUAACACAUAUGCGAGUUUUUGGGUGCUAAACCCGGGAAGCGUAAUGAAAGUAUUAAGGUGGGACCCCGUAAGGGUGCACCAUCGACCGGUCUUGAAGUUUACGGAUAGAUCUGAGUAGGAGCAUAUUUGUUAGGACCCGAAAGAUGGUGAACUAUGCGUGAGUAGGGUGAAGCCAGAGGAAACUCUGGUGGAGGCUCGUAGGGAUUCUGACGUGCAAAUCGAUCUUAAAACUUGCGUAUAGGGGCGAAAGACUAAUCGAACUAUCUAAUGGCUGGUUCCCUCCGAAGUUUCCCUCAGGAAAGGG
Molecule: ribosomal RNA, 713 nt
Filed under: uncultured Chytridiomycota
Lineage: Eukaryota; Fungi; Chytridiomycota
Description: eukaryotic LSU rRNA
Rfam family: Eukaryotic large subunit ribosomal RNA
Source: RNAcentral